CUGCCAGAAAAACCCAGUCCAGAUGGCUUGAAGGUGCCCUCAUCAGACUCCAUAACGAUAUCAAAAUUGGAGAUAUUUUCCUAAACAUGACCCACAACAUGACUGGUCUGCUGUUCUCAAAUACUUGCUUUCAGACUUCUGAAGUGCCACCUAGAAAGCUGCAGGGAGUUUUGAUAGGAGGAAGCCAACUUUCUUACAACUGAACAUCCCAAUGGACAAAGGACUUGUGGAUGGGUGAAUCUGCCUGAAGCAUGUGCUGGAAGCAGUGAUCCUCAGAAGAUUCUCUAUCAGAAUCUAUACCAGACUCAACUGGCAGCUCUGCUGAGAGAAAGAGAAGAAAGAUGCACAGACAAAGAAGAUUGCAAGAUGCACAUGGAAGGUUUGCUUGAGAGAAAAAAAGAAAGAUGCACAGAGAAAAGUUUUUCUAACACUAGACAUGUAUGAAUUUUAUCUACAUGGAAUGAAGAUUAGAUAUCCGGGAGACACACUGAUUAGAUAUCCGGGA
This is a long non-coding RNA of Vidua macroura (Pin-tailed whydah), 505 nucleotides long. RefSeq lists it as uncharacterized. Lineage: Eukaryota; Metazoa; Chordata; Aves; Passeriformes; Viduidae. The transcript has 3 exons. The record is from RefSeq and is a predicted model, not a curated record.